This 464-nucleotide ribosomal RNA is filed under the name uncultured bacterium. Its description in RNAcentral is "partial 16S ribosomal RNA". It matches the Rfam family "Bacterial small subunit ribosomal RNA", at positions 28 to 507 of the family's 1533-position model. The record is from RNAcentral.
GACGAACGCUGGCGGCGUGCUUAACACAUGCAAGUCGAACGGUAAGGCCCCAGCUUGCUGGGGUACACGAGUGGCGAACGGGGGAGUAACACGCGGGUGACCUGCCCCUCACUUCGGGAUAAGCCUGGGAAACUGGGGCUAAUACCGGAUAGGACCGCACCGAGAGGGUGGGGUGGAAGGUUUUUCGGGGCGUGAUGGGCCCGCGGCCUAUCUGCUCGUUGGAGGGGCAAUGGCCUACCAAGGCGGCGACGGGUAGCCGGCCUGCGAGGGUGGACGGCCACAUUGGGACUGAGACACGGCCCAGACUCCUACGGGAGGCAGCAGUGGGGAAUAUUGCACAAUGGGCGGAAGCCUGAUGCAGCGACGCCGCGUGGGGGAUGACGGCCUUCGGGUUGUAAACACCUUUCACCAUCGACGAAGGUUUUCUGACGGUAGAUGGAGAAGAAGCACCGGCUAACUACGUG